CAGUCGCCGCGGGAAUACGAAGGGUGCAAGCGUUACUCGGAAUUACUGGGCGUAAAGCGUGCGUAGGUGGUGGUUUAAGUCUGCUGUGAAAUCCCCGGGCUCAACCUGGGAAUGGCAGUGGAUACUGGCUCGCUAGAGUGUGUCAGAGGAUGGUGGAAUUCCCGGUGUAGCGGUGAAAUGCGUAGAGAUCGGGAGGAACAUCAAUGGCGAAGGCGGCCAUCUGGGACAACACUGACGCUGAGGCACGAAAGCGUGGGGAGCAAACAGGAUUAGAUACCCGCGUUGUCCCUGUCUCUUAUAC
Molecule: ribosomal RNA, 301 nt
Filed under: uncultured bacterium
Lineage: Bacteria
Description: partial 16S ribosomal RNA
Rfam family: Bacterial small subunit ribosomal RNA
Source: RNAcentral